GAUGAACGCUAGCGGCAGGCCUAAUACAUGCAAGUCGGACGGGAUUCAGGAGCUUGCUUCUGAUGAGAGUGGCGCACGGGUGCGUAACACGUAUGUAACCUACCUUUAUCAGGGGGAUAGCCUCUCGAAAGAGAGAUUAAGCCCGCAUAAAAUCACAGCACAGCAUUGUGUAAUGAUCAAAUAUUUAUAGGAUAAAGAUGGGCAUGCGGAACAUUAGCUAGAUGGCGGGGUAACGGCCCACCAUGGCGACGAUGUUUAGGGGAUCUGAGAGGAUGGCCCCCCACACUGGUACUGAGACACGGACCAGAAUCCUACGGGAGGCAGCAGUAAGGAAUAUUGGUCAAUGGGCGGAAGCCUGAACCAGCCAUGCCGCGUGCAGGAAGACGGCCCUACGGGUUGUAAACUGCUUUUAUACGGGAAUAAACCCAGAUACGUGUAUCUGGCUGAAUGUACUGUAAGAAUAAGGAUCGGCUAACUCCGUG
This 482-nucleotide ribosomal RNA is filed under the name uncultured bacterium. RNAcentral describes it as "partial 16S ribosomal RNA". It matches the Rfam family "Bacterial small subunit ribosomal RNA", at positions 28 to 507 of the family's 1533-position model. The record is from RNAcentral.